UGGACAAGGAAGACCCUAUGAAGCUUUACUGUAUUUUGGAAUUGGGUUUUGACUUUUCUUGCGCAGUAUAGGUGGGAGGUUACGAGUAUAUUCUUGCGGGAGUAUAGGAGCCAUCAGUGAGAUACCACUCUAGACAAGUUGAAAUUCUAACUUUGUUAGCCGUUAUCCGGCCAAAGAACAUUUCCAGAUAGACAGUUUGACUGGGGCGGUCGCCUCCUAAAAAGUAACGGAGGCGCGCAAAGGUUCCCUCAGGCUGGUCGGAAAUCAGUCGCAGAGUGUAAAGGUAUAAGGGAGCUUGACUGCGAGACCUACAAGUCAAGCAGAGACGAAAGUCGGCCUUAGUGAUCCGGCGGUUUCGAGUGGAAGAGCCGUCGCUCAACGGAUAAAAGUUACUCUAGGGAU
This 402-nucleotide ribosomal RNA is filed under the name Dixoniella grisea. RNAcentral's name for it is "partial 23S ribosomal RNA". It matches the Rfam family "Bacterial large subunit ribosomal RNA", at positions 2085 to 2475 of the family's 2925-position model. The record is from RNAcentral. Lineage: Eukaryota; Rhodophyta; Bangiophyceae; Porphyridiales; Porphyridiaceae.